UCUUAAUUUCUAUAGAAAAAAAAUAUUUCUUUUAUUUCUAUAUAACAACUUUAUGCACAUUUUUUAUAUUCGCUUGCUGUUUAAAAUUUAUUCUAUAAAAAUGUUCUAUGACCGAAUGCUGAAAGUUUUGUUCGUAAAGUGUUCUUCAGUAUGCUGCUUGGGGAAAAAAUUCAACAUUCAUCAGUAACGAGUACACAAAACCGCAAAUUUUCUUGUAUAUGCAGCAGCAGCAUGCAACUGAAAUAUAUCUAAAGCAGAGUGCAUCUUUCUUUUCUACUCCAAUUCCUAAACAAAAGUCAUGCAAUCAUUAAACCUAAAAGAUAGUCAUUACUAUGUUCCGUUAUCUUUAAAUUGUUGCCGAAAAAAAAAAAACAAAAAUGUUAACGUUUUGCAACGGUGGUGUGAUUGCAACGUAAAAACGUAA
This is a long non-coding RNA of Stomoxys calcitrans (stable fly), 424 nucleotides long. RefSeq lists it as uncharacterized. NCBI's taxonomy places the organism in Eukaryota, Metazoa, Arthropoda, Insecta, Diptera, Muscidae. The transcript is spliced from 2 exons. The record is from RefSeq and is a predicted model, not a curated record.